AUAUUAAUGCCAUCGCCCAGCUGAGUACAACGUGCUUGGUGCUCGAAUGGGGAAUUCCGGAAUAAUUAAAUUCAUUUAUGCGAGAUCCCAAGCGUAGCACCAACUUUGGCCAUAAAAACCCGAAAAUAGCCAUAAUAAUGAUAAUGAUAUCAAUAACAAUGCGAAUUACGGGGCAAUAGUUGAGCGGUCGCUUCAUAAAAACCAGAUGUUAAUAUUUUUCCAUUUUCACAUCGAUGUACAAAUAAACACCGCAAAACACAGCACACAAAAAAUAAAAAAGAAAAUGGGGUG
Drosophila melanogaster (fruit fly) is the source of this 291-nucleotide non-coding RNA. NCBI's taxonomy places the organism in Eukaryota, Metazoa, Arthropoda, Insecta, Diptera, Drosophilidae. The record is from Ensembl.